RNAcentral lists this long non-coding RNA (759 nucleotides) under Felis catus (domestic cat). RNAcentral describes it as "lncRNA (ENSFCAG00000045720.2)". Lineage: Eukaryota; Metazoa; Chordata; Mammalia; Carnivora; Felidae. The record is from RNAcentral.
AAUAAAAUAAAAUACAGAUAAAAUUGAAAGCAAAGGCAAUACAUCACAAUGCAGUAAUACACUGAAGAAUAAUUAGUUAUUUCUUAGUUGUGGUAUGCUUUUAAAAUGACAGGGAGGGUUUGGGAUAAAAUCAAGUAGAAUGGAGAAAAUGAAUCUAUGAUGUCCUUCAGAUAAAGGAAAAAUUAUGGAAAUAUGACCAAUUAUUCUUUAUUCUUACUAAGAACAAGACAAGGAGGAAUGUUACAUUCCAGUGGGGGCAGUGGCGUGGGGGAUAAUUGAAACAGAAUGGGAAGAAUCUAGGACAACUAAGCUUAACUGUUUCCUCCACUGGGACUUGUCUCCAUAAAUGAAGGUUGAACUGUUCAGGCAAGUCAACUAAAAUGACAGCAAAGAUGUGCAGCCUGGAGCUCUUGUCAAGAAGAACAGAUAUGACACUAUGCUCAUCAUGAAACAUGAACAAAGAACUUAAUAAAAUGCAGGCAUUUCUUAUCCUAGGACCGGCCCAGCUGUGCAUUUUUCCUUUGGGUUUCAAGAGAUAUCCCUGUGAACUUACAGUCAAUAGUUACUUGCUAUCAAAAAUGCUCCGAUAAAGAUGGUAAGAAAGACUGUACCAAAGUCUGCUUGUAUCCUUUGCUGUGCCCUUUUUAAACCUUAGUGCAAUCAAUAGGUAUUCAUACUGAGUUGGGGGUUUCCUCCAGGAAGAAUAUAUUUAACUCAGAACUAGAGACAACAAAUAACUCUUCCAUUUCCAGAAACCAG